CUGGUAGUUCAGUUGGUUAGAAUGCCAGCCUGUCACGCUGGAGGUCGAGGGUUCGAGUCCCUUCC
This 65-nucleotide transfer RNA is filed under the name Anaerosalibacter massiliensis. It matches the Rfam family "tRNA", at positions 6 to 65 of the family's 71-position model. From Rfam's summary of the family: Transfer RNA (tRNA) molecules are approximately 80 nucleotides in length. The record is from RNAcentral. Lineage: Bacteria; Bacillati; Bacillota; Tissierellia; Tissierellales; Sporanaerobacteraceae. RNAcentral also lists the same sequence under 2 other names.